AUAGAGAAGUAAAAAAUUACUUAUAGUUUCGACCUAAAUAUAGAGAUUAAUCUCCCUAUUUU
RNAcentral lists this transfer RNA (62 nucleotides) under Calophya californica. RNAcentral's name for it is "tRNA-Arg". The record is from RNAcentral. Lineage: Eukaryota; Metazoa; Arthropoda; Insecta; Hemiptera; Calophyidae.